This 775-nucleotide ribosomal RNA is filed under the name Lactococcus lactis. RNAcentral describes it as "bacterial SSU rRNA". It matches the Rfam family "Bacterial small subunit ribosomal RNA", at positions 51 to 810 of the family's 1533-position model. Lineage: Bacteria; Bacillati; Bacillota; Bacilli; Lactobacillales; Streptococcaceae. The record is from RNAcentral.
AUACAUGCAGUUGAGCGCUGAGGUUGGUACUUGUACCGACUGGAUGAGCAGCGAACGGGUGAGUAACGCGUGGGGAAUCUGCCUUUGAGCGGGGGACAACAUUUGGAAACGAAUGCUAAUACCGCAUAAAAACUUUAAACACAAGUUUUAAGUUUGAAAGAUGCAAUUGCAUCACUCAAAGAUGAUCCCGCGUUGUAUUAGCUAGUUGGUGAGGUAAAGGCUCACCAAGGCGAUGAUACAUAGCCGACCUGAGAGGGUGAUCGGCCACAUUGGGACUGAGACACGGCCCAAACUCCUACGGGAGGCAGCAGUAGGGAAUCUUCGGCAAUGGACGAAAGUCUGACCGAGCAACGCCGCGUGAGUGAAGAAGGUUUUCGGAUCGUAAAACUCUGUUGGUAGAGAAGAACGUUGGUGAGAGUGGAAAGCUCAUCAAGUGACGGUAACUACCCAGAAAGGGACGGCUAACUACGUGCCAGCAGCCGCGGUAAUACGUAGGUCCCGAGCGUUGUCCGGAUUUAUUGGGCGUAAAGCGAGCGCAGGUGGUUUAUUAAGUCUGGUGUAAAAGGCAGUGGCUCAACCAUUGUAUGCAUUGGAAACUGGUAGACUUGAGUGCAGGAGAGGAGAGUGGAAUUCCAUGUGUAGCGGUGAAAUGCGUAGAUAUAUGGAGGAACACCGGUGGCGAAAGCGGCUCUCUGGCCUGUAACUGACACUGAGGCUCGAAAGCGUGGGGAGCAAACAUGAUUAGAUACCCCUGGUAGUCCACGCCGUAAACGAU